This 253-nucleotide ribosomal RNA is filed under the name uncultured bacterium. RNAcentral describes it as "partial 16S ribosomal RNA". It matches the Rfam family "Bacterial small subunit ribosomal RNA", at positions 524 to 776 of the family's 1533-position model. The record is from RNAcentral.
UACGUAGGGUGCAAGCGUUGUCCGGAAUUAUUGGGCGUAAAGAGCUCGUAGGCGGUUUGUCACGUCGGCCGUGAAAACUCGGGGCUCAACCCCGAGCCUGCGGUCGAUACGGGCAGACUAGAGUGCUGUGGGGGAGACUGGAAUUCCUGGUGUAGCGGUGAAAUGCGCAGAUAUCAGGAGGAACACCGGUGGCGAAGGCGGGUCUCUGGGCAGUAACUGACGCUGAGGAGCGAAAGCGUGGGGAGUGAACAGG